CCAAUUACCUUGAGACUGCUGUGUUUGAGAGUCUCUGGCUGACAGUCCUAAUGAGCCUGCUUCCAGCCAUCCCCACCACGGUGCCAGACAUCGUCUCUGCCUUUGCCGUGACAAUGUGCUGGGCUAGGUUGCUAGAGGGUAAGGCACAAGGAGCCUGCCUGAACUGCUCCAGCCGUGCUGGCCAAGUCCUCCUAGAUCAGCUGAGUCUGCAAACUGCCAGGCAUAUGGAGUCCAGUCAAGACCAGACUGUCCAGCCACACCCAGUCUUAAUCGCCAAUCUAGAGUUGUAAGCAAAAUAAAUGCUUAUUUUAAGCCACUGAA
Long non-coding RNA from Panthera uncia (snow leopard), 321 nucleotides. RefSeq lists it as uncharacterized. Lineage: Eukaryota; Metazoa; Chordata; Mammalia; Carnivora; Felidae. The record is from RefSeq and is a predicted model, not a curated record. The transcript has 2 exons.